GGCGGCACGCCUAACACAUGCAAGUCGAACGAAGUAGCAAUACUUAGUGGCAGACGGGUGAGUAACAUGUAGGUAUCUGCCCUUUGGCCUGGAAUAACACGAGGAAACUUGUGCUAAUACCGGAUAAGUCUUUACGGAGAAAGCUUUAUGCACCAUUGGAUGAGCCUGCACUUGAUUAGUUUGUUGGUGGGGUAAUGGCCUACCAAGACUGUGAUCAAUAGCUGAUUUGAGAGGAUGAUCAGCCACAUUGGGACUGAGACACGGCCCAAACUCCUACGGGAGGCAGCAGUGGGGAAUCUUGCACAAUGGAGGAAACUCUGAUGCAGCGAUGCCGCGUGAGUGAAGAAGGCCCUUGGGUUGUAAAGCUCUUUCGUCGGGGAAGAAAAUGACUGUACCCGAAUAAGAAGGUCCGGCUAACUUCGUGCCAGCAGCCGCGGUAAUACGAAGGGACCUAGCGUAGUUCGGAAUUACUGGGCUUAAAGAGUUCGUAGGUGGUUGAAAAAGUUGGUGGUGAAAUCCCAGAGCUUAACUCUGGAACUGCCAUCAAAACUUUUCAGCUAGAGUAUGAUAGAGGAAAGCAGAAUUUCUAGUGUAGAGGUGAAAUUCGUAGAUAUUAGAAAGAAUACCAAUUGCGAAGGCAGCUUUCUGGAUCAUUACUGACACUGAGGAACGAAAGCAUGGGUAGCGAAGAGGAUUAGAUACCCUCGUAGUCCAUGCCGUAAACGAUGUGUGUUAGACGUUGGAAAUUUAUUUUCAGUGUCGCAGCGAAAGCGAUAAACACACCGCCUGGGGAGUACGACCG
RNAcentral lists this ribosomal RNA (802 nucleotides) under uncultured Pelagibacteraceae bacterium. Its description in RNAcentral is "bacterial SSU rRNA". It matches the Rfam family "Bacterial small subunit ribosomal RNA", at positions 38 to 888 of the family's 1533-position model. The record is from RNAcentral. Lineage: Bacteria; Pseudomonadati; Pseudomonadota; Alphaproteobacteria; Candidatus Pelagibacterales; Candidatus Pelagibacteraceae.